GGGCAUGGGGCUUAUCUUCCACACCUGUGGUGAAAAACUUGGAGGAUAAUAGAUGUGCUUUUUUCUUGUAUUCGUAAGAUGAUGCUAAGAAGGCCAUUGCAUUUCUCAUUAGAGGGGCAAAGGUAAGCUCUUGACCAUUGAUUUAUGGAAUCCUUGUCCUCAUUCUUAUUUUAUUCCUAAGUUUGUAUAUUGGGUUAGGCUUUACGGUGUACCUUUACAUGAAUGGAAUUCGAGUAUUUUUCAAAGCUUGGGAAAUAAGUGUGGAGAGAUUUUAGAAGCUAAUGGAGGUUGAUUGGAAGUGAUGAUGCUUCGUGUGUCCGGCUGAAAGUUAAAAGAAAUGUUUUUUCCACCUAUUCUCAAAUUAAUUAAAUUUUCUGUCAAUUGGGAAGAUUUCUUGAUAUCCUUCGGAAGGAUUGUUGAUAGGACUUUUUAAGGCAGGUGGGGAGAGAUUAGGAGAUUGUGGUAGCGGGCCAAGUCCCGUCAAAUUUGUACUUUUCAAUGGGGGCUAAAUCGUGAGAUGAUAGGCAGCAAGCUCCCUUAGAAUGCAAAGAGGUGGGUUGGAUGAAGGAUGAUGGCCGUAAGCUAGUACGAGAAAAACCCAGUAGCCUCAAGUGUUGCUCCUGAUGGUCCUAUUGACCAUGAAUAAGGAAGUCGUCAAAUCUUUAUUGAAGUCUUGGUUGGGUAGCAUGGUUGAGAGGAUCCUUCCUUUUCAUAAAGGGGCGCAUAAAAGAAAGCCAAGGGGUCCUAGAGUCCCACCGGAGCAGUAAGGUCUUCCGAUCGCAGUGUCGGAACCUAAGGACAACGUAGAUGCUUUGCCAAUCCAAAAUUUUUAGGAUGUAAAUAAUUUACAGUGACCUUUGGGAAUGAUCUGGAAGUUUUCUUAGAUGAAUAAGUGAAUUUUAUUAAUCCUAUUAACAUAGUUGUUGCAGACCAAGGUGAGGGAGAGAUGGUUUUACAAGAAGAUCAAUAUAAGAGCCAUACCAAAGGAAGAGUAGGAUUUUGAAGCAAUGUCCGAUGAUAUAGGAUUGUUGUUCGAAGUUCUGAUUGGCAAGUUUAUUAAAUAAUUAAGGGACACAUAAAACUACUAAGAACAAUGUUUGGAUGCACAAUGGGCAAACUAAUUCUAAUGAAGAAUCUGAGCAAGUUGAGGUGAAUGUGAGCAUGCAAAGGAUAAGGACAAAGGUAAGGGCAAAGGCCAAACUAGUGGCUAAGCAUACCAGAUCCUCAUCAAGUCUUGUUGCUCAAAGGGCCACUAACAACACUGGAGGUAUUGCUUUCUAGGUUCUCUUUAAGGGUGGAAAUUGUUGUUGAUGAUAAUAGUUCUGUAUCCGGUGAGCUGCCCAUCGCCAAAUAUGGAUCCACUUCUGGCACCAAUGAAGAUAACUAGUUCGAAUGUGAGAGGUCUAAAGGAGAUGACGAGAAAAAGAGAAGUAUUGUUGCUAGUCAGGAAUUAGUGACCUGAAAUUUUGUUGUUGCAUGAGACGAAACUCCCCAGAUUAUCAGUUAGAGAGGUUUGGGGUGGAGGGUCAGUGGGUUUUGCUGGGAUUGAUGUUGUAGGGGGAUUUAGACAUUGCGGGAUGCAUCUUUCCUUAAGUGCUUGGAUGUUUUGGUACUCAAAAAAUUUUGUGUCAUUAUUUUUUAGAGUCCAAU
Molecule: long non-coding RNA, 1650 nt
Filed under: Amborella trichopoda
Lineage: Eukaryota; Viridiplantae; Streptophyta; Magnoliopsida; Amborellales; Amborellaceae
Description: long non-coding RNA (ATRI_LNC004936)
Source: RNAcentral